RNAcentral lists this ribosomal RNA (358 nucleotides) under uncultured bacterium. RNAcentral's name for it is "partial 16S ribosomal RNA". It matches the Rfam family "Bacterial small subunit ribosomal RNA", at positions 338 to 693 of the family's 1533-position model. The record is from RNAcentral.
CCUACGGGUGGCAGCAGUGAGGAAUAUUGGUCAAUGGACGCAAGUCUGAACCAGCCAUGCCGCGUGCAGGAAGACGGCUCUAUGAGUUGUAAACUGCUUUUGUACGAGGGUAAACGUAGAUACGCGUAUCUGUUUGAAAGUACCUUACGAAUAAGGAUCGGCUAACUCCGUGCCAGCAGCCGCGGUAAUACGGAGGAUUCAAGCGUUAUUCGGAUUUAUUGGGUUUAAAGGGUGCGUAGGCGGUCAGAUAAGUUAGAGGUGAAAUCCCGAGGCUCAACUUCGGAAUUGCCUCUGAUACUGUUCGGCUAGAGAGUAGUUGCGGUAGGCGGAAUGUAUGGUGUAGCGAUGAAAUGCUGAG